Non-coding RNA from Chelonoidis abingdonii (Abingdon island giant tortoise), 116 nucleotides. The record is from RefSeq and is a predicted model, not a curated record. Lineage: Eukaryota; Metazoa; Chordata; Testudines; Testudinidae.
GCUAACCAAAACACAGCCAGUCCUAACAACCCUGCGCCAAUGAUUGUCCCACGUCCCAGGAAAUUUCCCACCUACAAGGCAGGUGAUGACACUGAGGCCUUCUUAGAAAAUUUUGA